RNAcentral lists this non-coding RNA (152 nucleotides) under Pontibaca methylaminivorans. RNAcentral describes it as "alpha proteobacterium GRP21 Ruegeria cis2 sRNA". It matches the Rfam family "Ruegeria cis2 sRNA". Rfam says of the family: Cis-encoded. The record is from Rfam by way of RNAcentral. Lineage: Bacteria; Pseudomonadati; Pseudomonadota; Alphaproteobacteria; Rhodobacterales; Roseobacteraceae.
CUUGUGAACAGCGGCGUGUAGUUCAGGAACACGAAUCCGCGCGCCUGGUCGAUGCAGUGGAACAGCGGAUUCCAGUCGAACAGCGCCAGCAUGAAGGCCGGCAGCGAGUUGGCGAGGAACAUCUUGCCCGACACGAUCAUGCUCGCCCGCUG